CAGGUCGAGAGGCGCUGCAACGGACCAAGGCGGUCCGCCACGCUCGACCGGACCCACCCGGACAAGGGCGCCUCCGAUUC
RNAcentral lists this non-coding RNA (80 nucleotides) under Kutzneria viridogrisea DSM 43870. RNAcentral's name for it is "Kutzneria albida DSM 43870 SAH (S-adenosyl-L-homocysteine) riboswitch aptamer". It matches the Rfam family "SAH (S-adenosyl-L-homocysteine) riboswitch aptamer". The record is from Rfam by way of RNAcentral. Lineage: Bacteria; Bacillati; Actinomycetota; Actinomycetes; Pseudonocardiales; Pseudonocardiaceae.